GGAGUGGGUCCUACCCUCCUGACUGGCAGCCAGGGGAGAUCGGCUCUUCCUCAUCCUUCUCCCCCCCCCCCCCCACUUUGUGUUUAAUAUUUCUAAGUUUAUUUGAUUGAAAGACAUAGAUUGGAUGACUAUGUCUUUUGUGGCCAAAUUUGGUGUGAUUUGGUCCAGUGGUUUUGUUGUUUACUCCAUGGGAAAAACACACAUUACAUUUAUUUAUAUAGAUAAAUAGAUAGAUAGAUAUAGAUUAAACCCUUCCAGAGGGAAGUAACAUGUCUAAAAUUGUGUAGUAAUGCUUGUGUGUACAUAGAUACUUAAUGUUCAAUUUCUGUGUACUUCUAAGGAUGCUUUUUAUAAUAAACAUAAAUCCUUCAUAAUCCUGAAAAGAUGUAAAUAUUAAUACAGGUUGUCAUCUCUUUGAAUCAAUGCCCCAUUAUGGUUACAUUAUUUUAUCAUCACAUAUAAAAAGAAUGUAGUCACUUUCCUAUUUUAAUGUGAUAAAACAUCCUGCAUUUAGUGAAAUAUUAAAAUCAAGUCUUGAGUUCUCAGUGGGUGUCCUGCAUCCUUAUCCACAAAUCCAUGGGAGCAUAGCCCUUGACAGCAUCUUGCCUGGAUUAAAUGCUGUUUGUUUAUUUGUCCUCAAUGUUUAUCCAUAUGCACAAGUGCCUUGAUUUAUCACAGAUGUAGCAGAUCAGCAUGCCAGACUCCAAUUUCCAUUUUUGCAUUGAAAAUGUGUUUCUACUGUUUACAGAACUCUGACUUGUAAGGGAUUUUGUGCUUCAGACUUUGCAAAAACUGAAGAGAUGCAUGUUUGUGGGCCUUAGUGGUGCAUGUAUGAAAUUCCUCCUAUUCAGCUCAACAAUGGGCUCUUUCUCUUUGCUUAUUCCUGGAAGCAUGUUUUUCCCCCAUUUUUUCUUUGCUGUUCCCACUGUUCUUUUCCCUGGAUACCAUUCAAGAUCAAAUUAGGAGAACCAUGUGCCUUUUCUACAAAGUGUUUCCCUCAAAGAGGCAAAGCGAUUAUUCAGAAAAUCUAUUUAACAAAUGAAAAUGUUAAUUUUAUUUAUUCAUUUAUUUUCUUCCCCAGAACAGAAGCCACUAUGGACAUUUCUACAAUUAUUUUGAAAAUAGCUUUGGGAGCAUGGGUCAUAAAUUGAAUUAUUGAGAUGAUUUACAAACUUCAAAUUAUUCAUGUCCACUGAAUUCAACAGGAAAGCUAUUCAAGGACCACAAUGAAAUGCCAGAACAUAGGGUGGGGUUGUUUGGAGAUGCUUUGAGCCUUUUUGAAAUCUCCAGGUAGAGCGAGGAAGUCCUCUAGACCAGCUUCCAGCCAACAAAAAUCAGAAACAACCUUUAGCCCUCCAGCUGGCUUGGACUAAAACUUUCAUCAUCCUUGACCAUUGGUCAUGCAGCCUGGGGCUGAUGGAAGUUGUAGCCUGAUACAUCGGGAGAGCAACAGGUUGCUGACUCCAGAUGUAGACACUGGUAAGUUAGAUAGACCAAUCGCUUUUGUUGUUUCUGUCCAGUUCAAAGACAGCCUUUCAUUUACCGUCAGACGGUUCUUGAUUGCUUGUGACAACUUUACAAGCAAUCUAAUCUAAUGGUGAAAGCUUCUUUGAAAUCUGUUACAGUGUCAUUGAUUUUUGGCCCCUGCUUGCUUAAAGGUUUAAUUACUGGGAAGAAAGAAACUUAUAAUGCCUAGUUCCUUUGUGAUUGUAUCAGGGUGCAUCUACACUGUAGAAUUAAUGCAGAUUGGCAUCACUUACUAGCAGUUGUGAGAAACAAAAACUGGAGGUGGUAGCAGGAUGUGUGUGUGUGUGUGUGCAAAAAAAUUAUUUUCAGUCCUGAACUGGGUGCAUUCCAGAUCAAUGCUGUUGAAGGGGCAAAAAUGAAAAAAGUACUCCUUUUAAACCAAAGUCAAAAGCAGGAGCCCCCUUCCAGUGGAGAGGGCGAGGAAGGACACCACAAAAGUUGGAUCUUCUAACUGCAAAAAGUUGUUUAUUGCGUGGCCAUAGCAAUAACAACAAAAAUGCAUACAGGAAUGCAAUCAAAGGAUUUGUCGUAACCUGAAAAGGGUUGCAAGGCUUUUUAUCACUUUUACAGAAAGUAGAAAACAUAUUCUUAUAUUAUAUUGAAGGGACAAAGAUGUAAAAGAUGUAAAAUACUUCUCUUAAUCCAAAGUCAAAAGCAGGAGGCCCCUUUUCUGUGGAGAGGGGGAGGAAAGACACCACAAAAGUUGGAUCUUUAAACUGCAAAAGAAGUAUUUAUUGCGUGGCCAUAGCAAUGUGACAAAUACAGUAGAGUCUCACUUAUCCAACACUCGCUUAUCCAACGUUCUGGAUUAUCCAACACAUUUUUGUAGUCAAUGUUUUCAAUACAUCGUGAUAUUCUGGAGCUAAAUUCGUAAAUAUAGUAAUUACUACAUAGCAUUACUGCGUAUUGAACUACUUUUUCUGUCAAAUUUGUUGUAUAACAUGUUUUGGUACUUAAUUUGUAAAAUCAUAACCUAAUUUGAUGUUUAAUAGGCUUUUCCUUAAUCCCUCCUUAUUAUCCAACAUAUUCGCUUAUCCAACAUUCUGCCGGCCCAUUUAUGUUGGAUAAAUGAGACUCAACUGUACAUGCAAUCAAAGGAUUUGUCCAAUUUUCAAAAUGGUUGCAAGGGUUUUUAUCACUUCCACAGAAAAUAGUAAGCAUAUCCUUAUUGGCUUACAAAGAUCAUUUACCCCAUUCGUCUAAUGUUGGCUACAUCACAAGCAUCUUAACCAUCAUGCAAUUCCAUUGGUUUUCUAUGCUGUAACCAGAGGCGGUUCUACCACCAGGCAAACUAGGCAUUUGCCUGUGGCGCCAUGUUGUUGGGGGCGCCAUUGAGGCAGAAAGGAGCCUAGGAAGACAAUAUGGUUUUUGGGAAGCCUGUGAAGUAAGUAUUGCUUAUCUUACCUAACUUGGGUGAAUUAAUUUAAUGCAUACACACUUAUUUAAUUGAAUGUUCAUUUUCUACUGUUACUUUUUAAUUUAUGGAGUUUGUUUUAAUUCAUAGGUGAGCCACUUUUGGCCCCAUUUAUGAGAAAGGAGGGAAAUUGUUAAAUAAGUCCUAGUACCUUCAUUUAUAAGUAGAUUUUCCUGAGGAUUAAAGUUUUAUCACCUGUAUGCAACUAUUUAGUUUAGCAGAGAUAUAGAAUCUACACUUUCUAAUGGAUGUGCAAGGCAGAGAUUGCAGUAAUGAAUGUCCAGCACUUCUGGAAAAUGUCAGUUUGAGAAAAUCUGACAUACAUUGUCAGAAAUAGUUGUACUGAUUCAGACUACUGGGUCAUCCAACUCAGCCUCCUCCUCUGUAGGAAGUCUAGGAAGCAAGGCAAGUGGGGCUUCCUCCUUGGGGGCAUCCUUGGUUGGGGGGUGUCAGUUGGCCCUGAUUGCUUCCUGUCUGGAUUUCCCAUUUUCAGAGUGUUGUUUAUUUAGGCUUUUCCUCAAUCCCUCCUUAUUAUCAAACAUUUUUGCUUAUCCAACACUUUUAUUUUUCAGUGAUUGGGUUUUUUUUGGGGGGGGGGGAAUUUCUGUUUGCCUACACUUGAAAAUUACCUUGGACCGGCUCUGGCUGUAACAACAUGUGACUCUUUAGACAAUGGUGCUUUCAUGUUAUUGACCCUGAUCUCAGUACCUCCUUAUCUAUUCCUUGUUGCAAAUAUAGGUUCAAAACCGUAUGAGAAUCCUAGGGAGUAGUGGGUAAGGUUCUGACUUGAUGUAUUGUUAUUAUUUGAAAGUAACUUAUUUUCUCUGGAACAACUCUUUCCUCAAACAUCAGCAUUUUCUCUCAAGCACAGGCCUUUCUCAAAUAAUAGGCCUCUUGCAACUUAGGUCAAUCAAAACAUAUGGGACUUGUAGUCAUUACAAGUAUCUUUGAAAAUUCUGUUUUUAAACCCACGUCCCACUCAAUAUGACAGACUCAGGGCCCUUCCACACAGCCAUAUAACCCAGAAUUUCAAGGCAGAAAAUCCUGCAAUAUCUGCUCUGAAAUGGGUUAUCUGAGUCCACUAACUGCCAAUAUUCCAGUUCAAAGCAGAUAAUGUGGGAUUUUAUUCAGCUGUGUGAAGGGGCUUCAUUUAAAUCUAGUUCAAUGUGGUUUAAUCCACAUUAUAUGAGUUUACACUGACUUAUAAUGCAGUUCAAUCUGAGGCCUUUCCACACAGCCAUAUAACCCAGAAUAUCAGGACAGAAAAUCCCACAAUAUCUGCUUUGAAGUGGGUUAUCUGAGUCCACACUGCCAUAUAUUCCAGUUUAAAGCAGAUGUGGGGUUUUCUUCAGCUGUAUGGAAGGGGUCCUGGAUUAUAUGGCAGUGCAGAUGGCACCUGACUCAGGCUAUGUUGUGGAGAAACCCGGAAACGCCAUUUCUGGCCUUGGGUCUGGCAUUUGGGGAAUGUUGGACCAUGGCCGACCUUCUGCCUCAUGGCCAACUCUACUCUUGAGGCAAACCCCAAUGCUAUUUCUCCUUCUAUUUCCAGUAAUGGCUUCUAUUCUCACAACCAAGUCCUCCAUUAUUUACCCUUGUUUUUUUCCACGCUUCUUGCGGAGAUUUUUAUGUUAUUUAGGAGUUCCCAAAUUUUUGCAAUGUAGCAGUGGGUUAAACUGCUGAGCUACUGAAUUUGCUGACCAAAAGGUCAGCUGUUCGAAUCUAGGGAGCGGAGUGAGCUUCCGCUGUCAAUUCAAGCUUCUGCCAACCUAGCAGUUUGAAAACAUGCAAAUGUGAGUAGAUUAAUAGGUACUGCUCUGGCAGGAAGGUAACGGCGCUCCUUGUAGUCUUGCCGGCCACGUGACCUUGGAGGUGUCUAUGGACAACACUGGCUCUUCGGCUUAGAAAUGAAGAUGAGCACCAACCCCCAGAGUCAGACACGACUAGACUUCAUGUCAGGGGAAAACCUUUGCCUUUACCUUAGCCUUUAAAAAACAUUAAAAACCAAUGAAAUUGGAGCCCAAGUUUUGAAUAAAGGGGUCAAAUGUCCUCUGUGGGAUACCACUGAAUCUUUGAUUUCUGGUCAUGGCUUCCAGUGUGUAUUCUGAGAACCAAGUGUGCCAUGAUCCAGCCUUGUUCUUUUCUGUGGCACCUUCUAUACCACUGAAUAAAAUCCCAUAUUAUCUGCUUUGAACUGGGAUAUAUGGCAGUAUAGACCCAGAUAGUCCAGUUCAAAGUAGAUAUUGUGGGAUUUUUUGCCUUGAUAAUUCUGGGUUAUAUGGCUGUGUGGAAGGGCCCUGUGAAGCAGCUGCCUCUGACCCCAUCUAUACUGUCAUACAAAAUCCAGAUUAUUUGCUUUGUAACUGCAUUAGUAAGCAAUGUGCCUGUAGGCUGAAUACAUAAAGUUUGUAAGUAAACCAGUGUGGAGAUGUGGCAGGGAGGAAUCUUUUUAUCCCACCGCUGCCACUAAAUUGUGGAGAUGUGGCAGGGAGGAAUCUUUUUAUCCCACCGCUGCCACCAAAUUGUGGAGAUCUCAGGCAGAGAGGAUUUUUUUUUCUUUAUUCUCUUAUUCUUUCUUAUUCUUAUUCACAUUAGAUGGUAGCAUUACUUAGUUUUGAAUAUAGGUGACUGAGACUUGGAUAUUGAAGAACAAAAACAAGUUUAUUUCAGGCACAGAGCUUAGUAGUUACAGUAACUUCUUUAAAGGCACUUAGAUAAUGGUUGCAACGUUAAUAACUGAUCACUUUGGAUCUAACUGGGAUUGCUUUCCCUUCCUACUCAGACUCUACAAAUAAACCUAAACAAGUCACCUAACUUGCUUAAUUUAACACCACUAGAGAUCUGAGUUCCCCUGGCUUCCCUAACCUGGAACCAGUGUCUUCCCUGUGACUAAAAUCACAGACUGUUUUUUAAAAUAUUCCCUCCUUUUCCUUCAAACUGCAGUUGGCUCCGCCCUCGUUACUAUGGCAACCUGCCUCAGAAUGCUGAGCUGGUUACCAUCCCCCACGCACUGGUGACUAAUACCCUUUUAAACAUAGUUAAAUCUGACUUUUAAAACGAAAUUAAACAUGACAUCUAUAAAUCAAAAUAAAAACACACUUCUUUACAACCAGCUAUGUUAUUUUUAAUGAAGACUACUUUAUUUUGUCUCUUAGGAGCAUGAUUUAAACCAAGAUGUUUUAAAGGAGAGUAGGUGUUUUUGGGGCAACUGAAAUAACACUUCUGAACUCUGCUAUAUUUUUGUGCAUUGACAUAUCUCUGUUCCUAACAGAUCAGAGACAAUAGGUUCAGUCUAAUAGCUGAGGAAUUGCAUAAAUACUAGAUAUUUACCACCAAAAAGAAGAUUCUCUCAAAUGAGUUUUUAGCUCUUUUCUGAAAGUCAUGCUUUUCAAAAGGUUAUGUGUCCAAAAGGUUAUGAAUGCCUUUUCCCUAAUCUGCUUCAAUAAAGAAAAAUACUUAUAAAAAAUAAUAAAUGGCAUUAAUUGCAAACUGACCUCACAGACACCUUUUCCUCCUUUGCCAGCUGGUCUAUAAAAUGAAAGGUGCCUGUCAGAAUUGAUAAUGGUUCUUUAGUAAGAUUCUUAAAUUCAUGGAGGCUGACUUUUCUGAAAUUAAUAAUAUUACGAACCAACAUCUUACUAAGGGUGCUUCUACACUGUAGAGCUAAUGCAGUUUGGAAUCACUUUAUUUAUUUCAUUUUAUUUAUUUCAAUUAUUUAUACCCCGCCCUUCUCACCCGAGGGGACUCAGGGCGGCUUAACUUUAACUUUUGUGGCCCAGUACUUUAGAAUCCUGAGAACUGUGGUUUGGUUAGGCACCAGCAGGCUAAAGACCUUGUAAAACUAAACUCUUGGAACUACAUUAAUCCUACAGUGUAGUAGAGCAGGCAGGCAUGGUCAAACUUUGGCCCUCCAGGUGUUUUGGACUUCAACUCCCAGAAAUCCUAGCCAGCUUAACAUUUGUUAGAGAUUGUGGGAGUUCAAAUCCAAAACACCUGGAGGGCCAAAGUUUGCCCAUGCCUGCUGUAGAGCCAGACAUAGCCAGCUGCUGGCUUAAUAGGUGAUCCCUCUUUCCUUCAGCUUUCCUCUAACUCUUCUCCAAUAAAGUAAAUUAACACUAUUUAAAGAAUCCUAAUUUCUGUCCACAGGGUUUCAGUCGAGGAUGCCACCUUGAUCUGCUGAGCAAAGUUCUUUUGAAUACUCUCAUGUGUGAAAUUCAAGUCAAGAAAUGCUUUAUUUGUGUCAGUUUGAAGUGAAGAAAAUGGAAAAGAGGGUUCCAUAUGCACAAGGACCAAAUACCUGCUAGAGACUUCAAGAAAAUUGGAUUUUUGGGGUGAAGAAUACAUUUGUAUAUUCAAAAAUAUCUCAAUAAUAACAUAGGAAUGAGAUUUAGGGAGCUCCCUUUCAGAGAGCUCUUCCCAUUUUAGAUCCCAAAGGAGAACAAUUUCUGCCUGUCUGAGGUGCUAACAUGAAGGAGCUUUCAAGAAGUUAAAGGAAAGGCUGGGCUUCCUGGAAGGACCCAGAUCCCCUUGACAUCCUGCAGGGGUGUAGCAGGGCCAAGGUAAGCACGUGGCAGCCCUGCCUGCUGGGCCCCUCCCAAGAGAAGCUCCAGGCUUGUUUUCCUUCCAAAAGGUUCCAUUUCUGCCCAGGUUCCAGGGACAGAGGUAUUUACCUGGUUGUCAAGGAGACCAGGGGAUUCCGAUGAACCAGAGGUUGCAGUGACCAUUGGCACCUGCCAUUACUUUCCUGGACUCCAUCAUGGGCAGAGGAACUUCGUGGCAGAUCCAGCCGGGGGUCUCCCCUACUGCUGACCUCUGUCCCAGGCCUCUCAGGAUGUCCCUGGCCUUAACGUUCAGGAUAAGCUCCUAGACCCAUCCUCUCCUUUUGGGAAUCCUGUGGCCAGCCCUGCUGUGGUGCUGAGUCUCCCCUUCUUUGGCACUCCUUUUGACAGAGGGCCAGGAAGAGGUACCCAUGUCUCCACCACAUGGGCACUGAAGAUUGAGAGGAGGUUCUGUGGCUCUUCAAAGGUAAACCCCCCCCCCCAAAGCCUUUCCAACAGGAGCCAUGGCUCUGUCCUUGACCAAGGGAAGCCCUGGCACCAAGAGAAGACGAGAGCCCAGUGAAGAAAAGUGAUACUGCCUUAGGGAUUCCCUGAAGUUGGAGGGGGGAUAGGCUUUUGGGUGGGUAUGCAUAAAUUAAGUGGCAGUUAUGCUUUAUGAGAUAGUGAAGGAAUUUGCAUGUGUAUAGUGAUUGGUUGGUGGAGGAAGAGGUCCUUGGGGGGAUUCAUAUGCAAAUUGUGGCAGGUAGGGAUUGUGAGGUAGAAAAGGAGUUUGCAUAUCGGUGGUGAUUGGCUGGUGGAAGAGGAAGAAGGACAGACCCUUGGACGGGAGGGAUGUACCAUAUUUCAACAGGUAAAUAUGGUCCAGCAAAUGUCUGUGGAUUACAGUCCUGAGAGGGAGGGCGGGAGGGAGGGAAAUUGUAGCAGAGGGCAGAGCCCUUUGGUGGAGCUUUCUGUGUUCAGCUUCUGGCGAGACAGAUGGAGGCGCCCUUCCCCUUGGAUGUCAGAAACCUGAGGACACACAGAGAGAGAGCCUGAGCUCUGAGAGUUCAGAGAGAAACCUCCUUUCUAUCUUUUUUUUUUGGGUGGGGGUGGGGGUGGAGGAAAGCUGUCAGUCUGGAUGUUUGAGGCUCACAACAAGCGAUGGCACUGGAGCCUUCUCCCUAAAGUUGGGACAGGUGCCCUGAGGCUGGGAUUUUGGGGUCCCAGGAUGUUGCCUUAUUCUGAGGGGCUGGCAAAGGUCCAGGGGCUUGGGUUGGCCUGGACAGGAGGGUAGGUGGCUGCUAAGGAUGCUCAGAUGAGUUCCUGUUCUGUCCUUUGCCUUUCUAGCAACUUCAUCUCCAGGAAAGUCCCAUCUCCUUAAAGGAAUGAACCGUCCAAAGAUUUGGUUAGUAAAAUACGGGAUGGAAUAGUGGGAUCUUGCCUCUCUCCUUACUUUGGGAGAAAGAUUUCACUCUGGGCCCUAAGACCUCUUGAGUUCCCAUGUGGAAAUCCUGCUGCCCUCAGGUGUUAUUGGGCCAUAAGUCCGAGCAGCCCCAGGCAACAUGGUCAUUUAUAUCUUCUUUUCCCUCAACAAGACGCCAAGGAAGUUGGGAUCCCUUCAGAGUCCAGCAGAAUGUGGGGGCAGCCCAGACCCUCAAUUCAGAGAGGUACCUCCUUUUCAAGUUUAGGGGUGCAUGGCAAGCAUGUGGCCCUGUAGAUUUGAGUCCCAUAUAUGAGAGAAAAGCAGGAUAAAAUUAAGUAAAUAAAUAAAUAAUAAUAGGUUUGGGGCACAGAGCAAACAACCACAGAGGACCCCCCCCCACACACACACCUAAAUUGAGGCCAUGGGAGUCUCAGCCUGUAGCCUUAUUCCACUCAAGCUUGCAAACUUAUUGAAAGGAUCGGGAUCACCUUAGAGGCUCCACAUGAAUGAGAGGUGAGGGCUUCUUCUGAUCUUUAUCUUGUUGUCUCUUCUAGCAGUGCCCACAGGCCCUCUCAGAAGACAUCAAAAGUAAGGAAAGAAAGUGAGAGGUAAAGAAGGGACGUGAGAAGUAAAGAGGACAUCAAAGAUAAGGAAGGGAAGGGAGGAUAAAAUAAUCUUUCCUCUGCCACCUCAAGACUUUGUGCUAUCUGAGCCAAAUGGCAAAGGGGCACCCUUCCACCCCAUUUCCUUUGUCUCAUCCUGCCUCCCAUUUAACCUCCUUUCUCCCAGUCCAGUUUUCCUCCUACUGGUUGCCUUCCCAUUCCUCUUUUGGCUGUGUGCCUCAUGAAGGAAGAGGGGAGCUCCUAUUUCAUCCUUCUCUCAAUUGUCUUGCAGAACCCCAAAGGGAUGAUGCUGGAUGACAUUGUAGCCCGCAAGAUGAAUUGUGGGACCCCCUCUCCAGUUCCGGCUGACAAUAUCCUCUCAGUUGGGAGGGAUCCCCAUUCCCGUCCCUUUCCCAAAGCCAGAGGUUUGACCUAGGCCAUUCUGACCUAGAUGGACCCUUGGCGUUGGUUCCAGCCCUGCCCUCGGAUGGUGGCCAAGUCUCACUUCUCUUCCAGCUCCCUUGGCCAAAAGCAAGAUGAAGGAGAACUGGUCCUGAACCCUUAGAGAAGGUCCCCCUUGGACCCAAAGCAGUUAAGGCCCAGUCCUCCCCACUUCCCCCGGUAAGGCCUGGGACCACCCCUGAUGAAGUAUGGCCAGAACGUCUUCCUCAGAAUGUGAAGAGGUGCCUCCUGCAGACACCUUGGUGCCAGGUUCAUCUCAGAGACUUAUCUUCUUAAGGUAGGCUGCUCUAGUAAGCUUUCAGCUUUUCAGCUCCUGUUCAUCAUCUGGUGGUCUCGUUGGUCACAAGGUAAGUAUGCUGGGACCCCAUUGACAAUCUCCGCAAGUCUGCUGCCUGGCCAGUGUGCUAUGACCAAUGUGUUAUGGAAACCGUGUUUUUGUAAAUAGUGCAACCAUAUUAUUUUGCUACAAAGAAAAGCCUCAAAAGGAAGAUAUAACAUUGGUCUGUGGUUUUUUUGUUCUUUUUAUCACUUUAGGUUACUGGUGCUGGGUUAUGCUGCUGCUAAUAAAUUACUCUGCUAUAUGUUUAUGGGGAGGGUCUUUGGUUAAUAAGCCUACUCUCCCAUCAAGGGUUAUAGGCCCAGUAUAGCCCAAUAUAGCCCAGUAGAAACCAUAUUGAGGCUGAAGAAAUAUGGCAAUAGCAUUUCAAGCAAGUGGACUGCCUUUUGAAAGGUUGAAUUCUAGCAAUUAUGUCACAUGGUCAUUUAUGAAUUUUGUUUCGUUAGGAGACAAUUUGUGGGAAGUAGUGGAGAAUCUUCCAGAUAAAGAAGGAGAAGAUGAUGACAAAUUGAGGGCAGAUCAUUGUGCCAAGGCUUCUAUCAUAUUGACAUUAGAGGACAAUCAACUGCCAUAUGUAAGGAAUGCCCAAACAGCCACUGAAUGUUGGCAAAGCCUCAAGGAAAUUUACCUGAACCAUUCAGCAGGCAUGAAAGUUUUGUUAACUAGGUAGUUGCACAAUUUAAAACUUCAGAAAGGGGAAGGUAUUAGGAACCACCCACAGCAAAUAAGGAUUCUAUUAAUGGACUUGGAAGAAAGAGGCAUGUGUUACAUUGAAGAAAACAAAGCUUAUAUUUUGAUUUUUUCAUUAUCCAAAGAUUGGUACAAUUUCUGUUAUGCUAUACAAAAUUUGGACGGUAAGUACUUAAACCUUUACUGUGUGUCUUCAAGGCUUUUAGAGCAGGAAAAGAGACUAAACGUUGAGUCAUCCUUCAAAGAAGACCAUCAAGUUGCUACUACAGGAAAGGCUAAUGAAGCAGUGAGUAGUCAAGAAUAUACAAAGGUAUUCAAUGUAAGACAGGGUUGUGGGUGUGGAGCUGUAAAUCGUCUAAUUAAGGAUUGCCCCAGGAAUAAAAGAAGAACAGAAGAAGAGGAGAUCACCGAGGCUACCAAAGGCAACAACAAAGAAGAAACCACUGAGGCCUACUAACACUACAGGCACAUCUGCUUAUAUUGGACUAUAGUUUUUGCUGAGUCAUUGUACCCAUUUAACCCUUUCAGUGUUAAAUGGGUGCAAUAUCUCACAUUUCAGUGACUCACAUUUUUGUAAUUAAAAAUACCUAGUUAAUUUUUAAUAUUUCUGACACCCCUUCUAUUUUUAAUUACAAAAAAUUGCCAAUUUAAAUCAUACAUACAUACAUAAACACCAUUUGCUGUUAAAUUCACAGGAUUUUACAUUUCACUUUUUCUUUUCAAUGUUAUCCCUUGAAUCAUAAAUCUUUCUGGUAGUACAUCUUUAUUAGCCCUUUCUGUUCUAGGGAUUUCAAUAUUUCCCCGACUUCCACCAAUUCUUCAUCUUUGUUUUUAUUAGUUUCAUUCUCUGUUUUUACACUAAGGCUACUUGUACACAGAAUUUCUAGUUUCUCUUCUUUUGUUUGUACUAUUUCUGUCUUUGUAUCAAUUUCUUCAUUUCUAGAUCUUUCUCUUGUAGUUUCCAUUUCCUGAGGCUCAAUACUUAUAAAUGGUAGAAAUACUUCAUUGUUUUUAUGUAUAUUUUUCCAAUUCUGGUUACCAUCAAAUUCUUCUUUAUUGGUAAUAGCAAUUGUGCCUUGUCCUAACCAAAAACGGUACCCUUUUUUCUUUUGACUAUACCCAACAAAACAAAGUCUUCUCCAUGUUUGCUCACCAGGAAUUAAUACAUUGGUAUAACUUCCAAAAAAUUUCACAUAUUUAAGAUUUGGUUUCUGGCCAAACAUUUUAUAGAAUGGAGUUUCAUUUACACUGGAGGUCCAUACUCCGUUAAUAAUAUGGUUUGCAGUUACUACCAGGGCCGUAGCCAGAAAAAAAUUUCGGGAGGGGUUUUGAAAAUUUCGGGGGGGGGGGUUUGAACCCCUAGUACAUACCCCUCCCCGCUACAAACCUGUCAAUAUCUGCUUGAGAUAGUGCCUGGAGGGACUCUUAAUGUUUUGCAUCUCAUAGACUUAGCAUGGGGAUUUGGUUAACCAGUUAAAAUUCAUGAGUAAACGAGAUUUUUUUUAUAACUUGAAAAAUUUGGGGGGGGGGGGUUGAACCUCCCCCCCCCCCUGCUACAGGCCUGGUUACUACUGCCUCUCCCCACAAAUGAAAUGGUGAUUUAGAGUCUUCCAGCAUACAGUCUCUCAUUCUUUUUAACACUCCAAUUCUCCUUUCUGCUACAUCAUUUUCUUCAGGACUAUAUUGGUUAGCUUUUUGGUGCCAAAUUCCUUUUACUUUUAACCACUUUUGUAAUGCAUAACUCAGUGGACAUCCACACUUAGGUCACAUCUCAAUCACUUUCACCUGCUACCCCUGUCCAUUAUGUACCUUCUUUCUUUCCUGAUAGGCAAAAUAACACCUGCACUGUCUUUGCCAGCUGGUGUGGACUCCCUUUUCUGCGGAGGCCAUGCGAACAGUGGACUACGUGGCCCAGAAACACCUGUAUAUGGCCACAGACCAUUUCCUGGAGUCCAAUGGGAGGUGGAGGAGAAUCCUUGGUCAGCUCAGGAGGACACAGAACAGGGCAGCCAUACUUUCAAUUUGGCCAUGUAAAGGACAUCCCCACCUGCAUCUUGUUUUUGGAAAGUUGGGGAUGGAAGGUGGGACCCUUCCUCUUUCCUGGCUACCAACAGGAGCCCUCCUUGCAUUGAGGCCCAAACCUCCUCCUUUCCACGGGCAAAAGUGACAAGAGCUAUCAAAGGAAUUAUCAGCAACACCAGGGAUGUCAAGAACCUGGAGAUGUGUUUCCUGGACAUUCUGCUCACCUUGGUGACCAAUUUUGUCAACAUCACAAGGCCUGGUUUGGAGGCACUCAACAGGAACUGGAGCAGCAGUUACGUUACUCCAGAGAAAGGAGAGGGUGGGGAGGAAUUUUCAGAUGCUGAUGCUGGCCAGCUUCAGACUCCACAGAACACAAAUGAAUGCUGCUUCUGAUCUGGUUUCAACAUCCUAGCCUGGUCGUCCAAUAUCUGAGCAGACAGGGCCUUCUCCAGCUCUGCAAGACCUAUAGGGAGAUAAGUCAGACAGACACACUCCAGGCACCACAGAGGCCUGGCAGAGCCUGGAUCCAAUAGGCCUAGCUCUUGAGAUUAUAUGAAGAACAUACGAUGCAGAAGAGGAAGACAAUAGAAAGUUCCUUCCCCCUCUAACCCCAAAUAAGGCCUGUGAUCAAAUGUUCUCUGCAAAGGAACUCUUAGACAUGGCUGCGCUUUGACCUGGGCCACCUUUCCCUUUGCAGAUGAUGGAUGUCAAAGAGCUCCUGGAUGAGAUUCUCAGGGAGCUCUGAUCUCCCAACACUGUGAUCUUUAUAAACCUCUAAAGCAGGUAUCUCUACUUUCCUAACACUUUGUCUCCCGAUGUGCAUGGACCUAGAUCUUCUUUAGAUUUUCCUUGGGCCCCAUCUCUCCCCUCCUCACUUGGACUUCCCUGGAAGUGCCUUGGUUGGUGCGGGGGGAGGGCAACUGGAGUAGGGCAGAGCAACCUCACUGACUUUGUGAUUUUUGCGCAUCAAGGGACACUGACAAGACGUUGACCAGCACUUGGAAGAACAAGGAGGGAGAAGAGAGGAAUUAAAUAAGAGUGUUUGGUUUUAUUGUUCAAUUGUGAAAUUUUAAAUUUCAUGUGCAUUGGUACUUAACUGUAUAGAGUUGUAUAGUUUUUGUUAUAUAGGAGAUAAUCACAGUACACUGUUAAAAGUGCUGCUAUUCCCCUUUAGCGUCUGUGUCUGCCUCCUGUGUAAGAGGUUUGUAUUUUAGCGAGGCCUAGGACCUCUCCUUAAACUGCAAAUCAUAUGAUUGCAUAAUCAUAACAGUUAAAGUGGAAUAGCCAUGCUUCAACAGUGUAAUGUGAUAAUCUCAUUUUCUGUUUAUUGUAACUUAACAUUAUAUAAUUAUAUAGUCUCUGUUGUAUAAGGUUUGUAACCAGGGUUGCCAUGUUAGGCAAUCCUGACAUAAAUUUUAAUUUCAUGUUGCAUUCUAUAGUUUGUUUUGUAUAGUGCCUGUAACCAAGAGUGCCAUUACCUAUUCUGUUGGUCUUGAAACCUUUGUUUAGAAUAAAUGUAUCCCUUUCUUUUUAAUUUGGCGCUUUCUCAGGAUUCCUUUGGAGGGAGGGAGAUGGAGACCAAAACUGCAAAAAAGAAGCGAGAGAAGACAAUAACAGCCAUGUAGUUGGUGCAAAUGGGUCAUGUUAAGAUCAUGUUGUGACCGUGAUGGCACAGUAAAUAAAAUCUUUAUAUUUGUUUAAUAAGAA
Anolis carolinensis (green anole) is the source of this 14719-nucleotide long non-coding RNA. RefSeq lists it as uncharacterized. The record is from RefSeq and is a predicted model, not a curated record. The transcript is spliced from 2 exons. Lineage: Eukaryota; Metazoa; Chordata; Lepidosauria; Squamata; Anolidae.